This 21-nucleotide non-coding RNA is filed under the name Arabidopsis thaliana (thale cress). The record is from RNAcentral. Lineage: Eukaryota; Viridiplantae; Streptophyta; Magnoliopsida; Brassicales; Brassicaceae.
CGUGAGUGUGUGUACUAAGUU